ACCUAAGACAGGAUUCCAUUUAACGGAUGGCUAGCGUAAGCUAAGGGAAAGUGCCACAGAAACAAACCGCUCGUUAAGAGUAAGGGUGAAAAGGUGGGGUAAGAGCCCACCGCACCCCAAGCAAUUGGGCGUGGCUAGGUAAACCCAAUCCGUAGCAAGAAGCGCAUGGUGAGUCUUAGAUGCAGCGCUUCGCAAGAGGUGGGUUGUAAAACCUAUCCUAGAUAAAUAACCACCCACG
Molecule: unclassified non-coding RNA, 238 nt
Filed under: Helicobacter felis
Lineage: Bacteria; Pseudomonadati; Campylobacterota; Epsilonproteobacteria; Campylobacterales; Helicobacteraceae
Description: RNase P RNA
Rfam family: Bacterial RNase P class A
About the family: Ribonuclease P (RNase P) is a ubiquitous endoribonuclease, found in archaea, bacteria and eukarya as well as chloroplasts and mitochondria.
Source: RNAcentral